RNAcentral lists this ribosomal RNA (497 nucleotides) under uncultured bacterium. RNAcentral describes it as "partial 16S ribosomal RNA". It matches the Rfam family "Bacterial small subunit ribosomal RNA", at positions 28 to 507 of the family's 1533-position model. The record is from RNAcentral.
GACGAACGCUGGCGGCGUGCCUAAUACAUGCAAGUAGAACGCUGAAGAGAGGAGCUUACUCUUCUUGGAUGAGUUGCGAACGGGUGAGUAACGCGUAGGUAACCUGCCUUGUAGCGGGGGAUAACUAUUGGAAACGAUAGCUAAUACCGCAUAACAAUGGAUGACACAUGUCAUUUAUUUGAAAGGGGCAAUUGCUCCACUACAAGAUGGACCUGCGUUGUAUUAGCUAGUAGGUGAGGUAAUGGCUCACCUAGGCGACGAUACAUAGCCGACCUGAGAGGGUGGUCCGCCACACUGGGACUGAGACACGGCCCAGACUCCUACGGGAGGGAGCAGUAGGGAAUCUUCGGGAAUGGGGGCAACCCUGACCGAGCAACGCCGCGGGAGGGAAGAAGGUUUUCGGAUCGGAAAGCUCUGUUGUAAGUCAAGAACGGGUGUGAGAGUGGAAAGUUCACACUGUGACGGUAGCUUACCAGAAAGGGACGGCUAACUACGUG